Molecule: RNA transcript, 2572 nt
Organism: Tripterygium wilfordii
Lineage: Eukaryota; Viridiplantae; Streptophyta; Magnoliopsida; Celastrales; Celastraceae
Gene name: AUGMIN subunit 8-like
Exons: 7
Source: RefSeq, a predicted model, not a curated record
AGAAGAGGGAGAGAUGGAACGGGACAGAGCGGAGCAGUGUUAUGAUUGAACCCCAAUUGUACCAGCCGACCAUGGCACUCUCGUGAGAAUGGACAUAAGGGUGAAUGGCCAUAAAAUUAAAGGCAACCCAGUUUCCAUCUUCCAUGUCCGUAUCCUAUGCACCCUUUUUUAACAUGUACUAUCUUAUCCUACGCUCCUCCUCCCUCCCAGUCCACUCUCUAGUCUCCCCCUCGUAGGGGACCCCCCACUCUGUUUUUGCAACCAAAAUCACAACCUUCACUAAUGACCGUUAAUACACGUUGUGGCAGUCUCCGGAAUUGCCUGUGACCCAUCUUGUCCCAUAUGGUGUUUUUAUCACCCCUAGACCUGGUUGUCGCCCCCUGAUCUUCUUGGAGUUGGGCUUUCCCUUGAUGAAAUUUCGACUCCCAUUUGCGUUUACUCGUUGUAAUUCUCAAAUUCAUUCUCAAAUCAGAUCUGGGUCUCUGUAAAGAUGUGUUUUUUUUCGGUUUUCUUUUUAUUUUUUUUCAUGGGUGUAUAUUUUACCUUUUUUGUGCUGCCGUGGUAAUCUACUUUGUGGUUGUUGCGCAUCUGUGGCAGAUGUAUUGCAGAGAAAAGGAUCUUCUUUUUGAACGACUGGUUUUGUUCUUUGAAUGUGGGAUACAUGAGAGUCAAGGCUGUCAAAUGUUGCUUUAUGGAUGUGAAAAAAUCCAUCAAUGUGGCCUGAGUUCGAUAGUUUGAAUGGAUGUAUGUGAACCAGAGAAGCACGCAGCAGUGGACACCCCAAGACCUCCCUUGUCUCCAACUGAAAGGAACAAUGCAGUCACUACGCGGCGCCCUCGAACGAGGGAAGUUAGUUCCAGGUACAAAUCUCCUUCUCCUUCAACCGCUUCAAAUAGCAGGCGUAGCCCCUCUCCUAACCUCACAACAAUAGUGCCUUCAAAUCCCCGAUUGGUGCCAAAGAGAGCCGUAUCAGCCGAAAGGAAGCGGCCCUCCACACCACCCUCACCGCAGAGGCCGUCGACACCAAUUCGUGAUUCAUCUGUAGAUUCCCAAUUGUCAUCACGAAGGAUGUCAAUUGGCGAUGGCCGGUUACCUGAGAGCUUAUGGCCCUCCACAAUGCAAAGUCUUAGUUUUUCCUUCCAAUCUGAUUGCAUUUCUAUUCCUGUCAGCAAGAAGGAAAAAUCAGUUAACAGUGCUUCCUCAGAUCGCACUUUGAGGUCAUCUUCAAAUGUAGGGCAUAAGCAGGCUGAAACACCUUCCCGGGCACGCAAGCCUACUCCAGAGAGAAAGAGGAGUCCUCUUAAAGGGAGAAAUUCACAUGAUCAGUCUGAGAAUGCCAAACCAGUUUAUGGAUUACAUUCUCGAUUGAUAGAUCAGCAACGAUGGCCGAGUAGAAUAGGUGGUAAGGUAUCCUCUAGUUUUUUGAAUAAAAGUGUUGAUUUUACCGAAAAAUCAGUUGGAAAUUCAGCCAUCCCCGGCCUGGGAAUUGGGUUGUCUUCAUUGAGGCGAACCCCCACAACUGACAGUUUGGGGAACCCAUUAAAAAAAUCUGUCAGUGAUGCUGGUGCGAGGUUAUUAUCGCUUCAUGAUAUUGGUAGAGUAGGGUCUCAGGCGAAAUCAAUUGAUGACAGUUCAUUGCGGUUAUCUGGACUUCACAAGUUUGUUUCUCCUAGUUUGUCAGAUAGAACAAUAUUAGCUACCCCUGCUGCGAAAUCUCAGUCAUUGCCUACUACACGGUCUCGACCUGUAUCCCCAAGUAGGACAUCCGGAGUUUCAUCCUCUGUUGUGAAAGGUGUUAGUCCAUCUAGGGCAAGACCAUCAGAUCCUCCAUCUAGAGGAGUUAGUCCAUCUCGGAUAAGACCAUCUAGUUCUUCUGGUAAGGCCCCAAAUUCAACUGCUGUGCUCAGUUUCAUAGCAGAUUUGAAGAAAGGAAAAAAGUGUGCGAGCUACAUAGAAGAUGCCCAUCAUCUACGGCUGAUGUACAAUAGAUAUUUGCAAUGGAGGUUUGCUAAUGCUCGAACAGAGGCAGUUCUUUACGUUCAGAAGAUUAAUGUAGAGGAAACUCUGUACAACGUUUGGAACACUACUCUAACUCUAUGGGAUUCAAUAAUCAGGAAAAGAAUCAACCUCCAAGAGCUGAAGCUAGGGCUUAAGUUGAAUUCGGUUUUGAAUGAUCAAGUGGCAUCGAUGCAAAGAUUUUGUUUAGGAUUUUAACUUCUUUGAAAAGGGCAAUGAAUUUAUAUAUGUGAAGUUCCUUCAUGCCGUUUUAUGAUCUGGACACGUGGUGAAAGCAAUUCUCUUUUGGUCAUUAUUUAAGCAUUGGAGACAUGGAAGAUUUUGGUCUACAAAAUCAGCUACCUUGAUGACUGGGGCUUGCUUGAAAGAGAGCAUAUUAAGUCUUUAUCUGGGGCUGUGGAUGACUUGGAAGCAAUCACCCUAAGACUUCCAGUGACUGGAGGAGCAACGGCUGAUAUUGAAUCUUUGAAGAUUGCUUCUGCUCAGCUGUUGAUGUCAUGCAGACUAUGGGGUCUUCAAUUCGCUCAUUACUUUCAAGGAUACAUUGCAUGGUCGU